GCCAGUGUUGUGUUGUGGUUUAAGCACUAGACUACAGCUCUGGAGACCAGGGUUCAAAUCCCAGCUCAGCCA
Non-coding RNA from Phrynosoma platyrhinos (Desert horned lizard), 72 nucleotides. The record is from the annotation of a GenBank genome assembly. Lineage: Eukaryota; Metazoa; Chordata; Lepidosauria; Squamata; Phrynosomatidae.